AAGUUUAUAACUCUUAAUUUCAGCUGGUUUAUGCAGGAAAUGCAUCACAUCUGUUUCUAUGUUCUUCAAACGAAUAGGAUCUACUGUAUUACCAAAAAAUUAUCUGUUGUUUUAUUUUAUGUUGAUUUUGUGUUUAUUAGAAAAUGUUCCAUUUUUGUUAAAAAAGUUUAAUUUUUACUUUAUUAAUAUAUGUUUAUCAAAAUAUUAAAAAGUUAAUAUUCAAAUUAAAAAGUGUUGAAAAGUUUCACUCAUUUUCUUAAUUUAAUUUUAUCUGUUCUUUAGAACGUAUAUAUAUGUAUAUACAGUGCCUACGCUAAGGACUUUAAAUUAUUAGCCAAUACAUUAACCAAAUAUCAAAAGUAUUAGCCUAAUUUCAAAAAUCUUAGCCAAAGGCAAGUCCUAAUGAUUAACUGUGAUUUUUUAUGAUUUCCCAUGAAAACUUUAAACCAAGUUACAAAUAUAUUUUAAAUUAAACUAUUUUAUAAAAUUGAAAUUUAAAUCAAAAGACAUUCUACAUUUGGUCAGAAAUAAAUGAGCAAUGAAUUAAAAUGUAGAUGUUUAUCAUUAGAGGAAAAGAAAUGGGAUUAAUUUUUAAUAACUUGCUACACUAGAGCAGUAAAAUAAGGAUGAUCUUAAAGCAACUUUUGAUUUUAAUUUUUUAGGUUCUAACUAUCUUUUCUAUAAAUAUAUUUUAAAGAGAACGUUUCAUUCUUUAAAUCUUUAAUUUUUUCUUACUGUCUCACUUAUUUUUUACUGACACAAUUGCAAUCAUUCAGAAAAAAGGAUCGCGUAAAAGGUUAAUUAUUUAAAUAAUUAAAUUCUACUUUAUUCUCUUAUAUUGGUUUUUAUACUACUCACAGUUUUUCAUCACAAUUUCGGCCGGGGCUUAACACGUUCAUUGCCAGCCAAAGUGCCAGUGGUUAUACUAUAUCUAUCAUUAAGGAGUGGUAAUUUAUAACGAUAAAACCAAAGUUAAAUUUUCUUAUUUUAGCAACCAUUUUAGUUUUUAAAUUUAACAAUAAGUUUAUUUUAAUAAAUAACACGAGAAAGCAAAUUUUUUAUGGAAAUAGUUGGUUGAUAAUAUGCAUGUUGAUUGCACUUAAUCUGUUUUAUUGACAACUGUAGGAAAAAUUUUGCCCCACAAUAUCUUGUGAUACCGGCAACGAACAGAUUCACCUGUAUUUUAUGGUAGUUUGUUUCAUGCUUACAUAAUCUCUCUUGUUGCUUACAUUACCUGGAUUUAAUAUAAUUUUAAUUGGUUCUGAGACAUAUCUAGAUGAAAUUACUGUAAUCUAGUUUUAAAAAACAAAACAGGAUUUGUUAAUAAAAAAAAAAUGCAUUUUGACGUAAUUGUAAGGAUUGAAGGGAAUAUAUAUUUUUCUUUUUAGAAGAAAAAAUUGUUUGCCCGUACUUUUGCCAAAACACAAUCUGUUUCGCCGAAUUUACGAUUUUAUCUUGUUUGGCAAGGUAGCAAAUGCUUAGCGUGGGCCCUGUAUCUAUACUUACAUAUAUAUAUAUUUUUACUGAACAUUUGAUCGGGGGAUUUUUAGUAUUAAAUCUGAAGGUUUUCCUGUAUAAUUAACCUUUUUCUGACUGUUAUUUAACAAAAAUUUUGUGCAAAGGAAAAAAUAUUUAAUAUUCAGUGGAUUAAAUCUUUUAUUUAAUGAUCUAUUUUAAUUUUGAAAUUUUUCUUAUGUUUUGUUUUGUAUAUUUAGUAUUUGUGUUGUAUUAUGUAGUAAAUAUUAUUACGCUCUUUUAAUGCUAAAAAUCAUAUUUUUUCAAUGCUAAAACUGUACUCUCUAUAUUCAUGCUGAAGUUUUUUUUUAACUGUUCUACGUAAUAUAUAAUAUUGUUUUUUUCUUAUGCAUGUCUUAGGUAAGAGAAUAAUUCAUGUUGAGCCAGCUAAAUGUGAGGUUUCACGAAGAUCAACCGAUGUUACUGAAUAUUUAUGUUCUUACUGCUCUUAUAGAACAUUUUACAAAUGGAACUUAAAAAUGCAUUCUCGUGUUCAUACUGGGGAAAAACCUUAUCAGUGUAAUUUUUGUAGCAAAAAAUUUGCUUCAAACCAAAAUUUACAAAGUCACAUUCACAGUAUUCAUAGGUUGAAGUAAAGAUAAAUGGUUUUUACAAUCACCUCAACAUGUGUUCUGAAUGCAAAGGUUAUAACAAUGAGAAGAUUAUAAGAAUAAGCAAAACAUUUAAUAUUAUUUUCUUAUUCUUCAUUAAUGUAAAAGAAAUAUUUAUGUUGAGCCAGCUAAAUGCGAGGUUUCAGGAAGAUCAACCGAUGUUACCGAAUAUUUAUGCUCUUACUGCCCUUAUAGAACAUUUUACAAAUGGAACUUAAAAAUGCAUUCCCGUGUUCAUACUGGGGAAAAACCUUAUCAGUGUAAAUUUUGUAGGAAAAAAUUUACUUCGAACCAAAAUUUGCAAAAUCACAUAUACAGUGUUCAUAAGUUGUAAAGAUAAAUGGUUUUUAUUAUCAUCUCAACAUGUGUUCUGAAUGCAAAGAUUAUAAGAAUGAGAUAAACUUUUUAUAUUAUUUUCUUAUUCAUAGUUUAUGUUGGCACCAGCAAAACAUUGUGUUUGAAUUUUAAAUUUAGAAGCUGCUAAUUAAUUUUCCAAUAUCUUAUAAGAAUUUGUUCAUAAUUUCUGCUGUGUUUUUAUAGUGUGAAAUUUUGUUUAUAAAAUAGGCAUGAAUUUAAAUCGUAAAAAUGUGUUAUAUUCUAAAUAGUUUUGCUUAUUUUAGUUGCCUUAAAACUUUUCAUUAUAAACCACUUAUGUGUGAUAUUGAAACGAAAUUAAUUUUUUUGUAUCAAUUCAAUUCUAUAUAAUUUUUAAACACUUCUUCAUUAUUUAAACAGGAAUAAAUAAAUAAUAACAAAAUUCCUCUAAUGCAAUAUUUUUUAAAGCAAUAUUGUUAAUUUUAUAUUUUUAUAAUCUUUCACUACCUAAAAAUUUGGUUACAGAAAUAUGACAUUAAUAUUAGUCUACACAUUUUUACUACUCAUUUCUAGAGCUUCUGUUCCCUAUUUCACAUUGAUGUGUGAUUAUUUUAAUUCGAUUUCUCAUUAAACAAUAUCAAGUUAUAUUUAGUUACCUGUGGUGUUAGCUUUAGAAAAAAAUUGUGUUAUCAAAUAUUUGAAUUUCAUAAUUUUUAGCGUUGAUGCAUAAAAUGUAUAUAUGUAUUUUGCAUUUUGUAUAUAAUGCAAAAGAUUAAAAAUAGAAAAUAAAAAAUUUGUAUAAAUUUAUUUUAUUUAUUUUUGUUCUUCUUUAAGAAACAGAAAUUUUUAUUGUAUAUACAUUUUUAUUUUGAAGAAAGGUAUAUUUAUAAUAGUAGAUCCCUUCGUUCACCAACUCUUGUAAUUCUUCUCAUCCUUCUUAGUUUUUUUUUCCUUAUAAGUCAAAAUUUUCCUCCAAAACAAGGAACAUUUUGUUAACAAAACGUGCAAUUAUUGUAGUUUUAUGUAAGAACAUUCUGUCAAUAUGUAAAUCGUAAUGAAAUUAACGCGUACCUGAAUUUUAAAAAUAAUCAUCUUUCCUUGGAAAAUAAAUUCAUCUAAGAAAUACAGAUUGUGUGCCUAAAUAAGAAGAUAUUGUAUAUGCACAUCUUAAGUAAGAUAUUUUUUAAGUAUUUAAGAUUGUAAUACAGUGCACGUUUGUGUUCCAUAAUUAUUAAUAAAACUAUUUUGUUCCAUAAAUUAUUGAUAUUUCUUUCCUUAUAAAAUUUUAUUUAAAUUAAUACGUUUCAAUCAACUAUAUACCUAUGUUCCUUUUGUAUUAUGUAUUCAAACAAAUGGAAAACUCGAGAUUAAUAAUAAAAAAAAAUUUUCAGCGCUAUUUGUUCAUUCCAAAAUAAAAGCUAAUUUAGUUAGGCGGUCAAUUAAUAUUUUGUCUUGGGAUUUAAAAAUGAAAAAGUUUAGUCAAUCAUUGUCUUAAGAUAGGAAACUCUUUCAUAUUAGGACUUAGUUCGAUAUGACUUUCCAUUUUUAUUUUCAUUGUUUUGUUUCUUAAUUUGAUUUUACUUAGAAAUUAUUAAUUUAACAAAUUAUGAAUGUGAAUUUAGGUCACAAAAAUAAACUUAAUAAAUGCUUCAUGUUUAUUAAAUGCAAUUAUUGUGUUGGAUUAGAAUCAAAUCUGCAUUUUUAAGUUCUAUCUUAACUUAUUUUUUGAAAAUUUUGACUUAAUUGUAUCCCGGAUAUAACAAGAAAAAUUUUAUUGUAUGGUUGGUUCUUUCUAUGUUUAAAAACCUAUAUAAAACAAUGUUGUUUUAAACCUAGCUUGCAUUCAAUGUAGAAAUUUUCACUAACUUGUGGAAAAUUGAUUUAUUGAAAUAAACUGAAAAAGUUGAAUUACUGUUUGUGAAGAUCUCAUUCCUUUCAGAAGCAUUCCAAAUAAUCCCUUCAUUCAAAUAGUUGAAAAAUUCUAUGCAGAUAUGAAAUGAAAAGUAAUUAUGUAAAAUUUCUAAUGUUAUCAAAAAUAGCCAUGUUAAUAUAUUGUGCUGUUAUGCUUAGUAUCAUGAAUGUUGUAGAUUAACAUAAGUUGAUAAUAAGAAUAAGAUAAGAAUAAAGUUAAAUCAUAAAUAAUGCUCACAUAUUUUUCACUUUAAUGUAAAUCAUAACAAUUAACCCAUUUUGAAACAUUUUUAAUUCAAUUUUUGUGCACUAUGACUUUUAUUUGUGAAAAUUUCUAUUGAGUGGGAUGUAACGAGCACACCUUUUUAAGGAACUGAUUAUCUCAAUCCCUGCAUUCUUAUUAUAAUGGUGCUCAGCUUGAUAGUUAUUAACAGAAAUGAAAGGAAUUACUUAAUAAAAUUCUUUUAUACUUCAAAACAAGAGUUUUAUCCAUCAUCAAACAGUAAAGAAUUAUAAGAAUCCACUCUGAAUGCACAACGGAAACACUUAAUCACUUUUCCACAAACUUCCCUGCUUUUUGUUCGGUAUGUUGGUCUGAUCAUACAAAACAUAAUGCUGUAUCUUUAUUUAAUUCACAAUUAAUCUAACUGUUCAUAUAGUUCAUUACCUUAGUAAUAUGUAAAAUUGUAAAGUGAUAAAAUUAGGCAGGAAGCAUAAUUUUAUUUUAUUAUGUCGUUAUAUAGUUUUAAACUGCUUGUACUGUAUAUAAAAAUUCUAUAUUCUAGGAACAGGAUUUGUUUUGAAACGAGUUCUUCAUUAUAAAGACAAUGGAAUAGACUUGGAAUUGUCGAAAUUCCGUUUACAUCCAUGCAUGUAUUGCAGCUAUUCAACAUACAAUAAAACUAAUUUAAAACACCAUCUGGUUACUCAUACCAAAGAACGACCGUUUGUUUGUAAAGUCUGCAAAAAAGAUUUCACUCGCAAGCACAAUCUUGUACUGCAUGAAGCUAAGCACUAUGUAAUUUAAUUGGAUGUAGUAACUACA
Non-coding RNA from Parasteatoda tepidariorum (common house spider), 5397 nucleotides. The record is from RefSeq and is a predicted model, not a curated record. Lineage: Eukaryota; Metazoa; Arthropoda; Arachnida; Araneae; Theridiidae.